UACGUAGGGUGCAAGCGUUAAUCGGAAUUACUGGGCGUAAAGGGUGCGUAGGCGGGCAGGUAAGUCAGUGGUGAAAUCUCCGGGCUUAACCCGGAAACUGCCGUUGAUACUAUCUGUCUUGAAUAUCGUGGAGGUAAGCGGAAUAUGUCAUGUAGCGGUGAAAUGCUUAGAUAUGACAUAGAACACCCAUUGCGAAGGCAGCUUACUACACGAUCAUUGACGCUGAGGCACGAAAGCGUGGGGAGCAAACAGG
This 253-nucleotide ribosomal RNA is filed under the name uncultured bacterium. RNAcentral describes it as "partial 16S ribosomal RNA". It matches the Rfam family "Bacterial small subunit ribosomal RNA", at positions 524 to 776 of the family's 1533-position model. The record is from RNAcentral.